RNAcentral lists this long non-coding RNA (226 nucleotides) under Phoenix dactylifera (date palm). RNAcentral describes it as "long non-coding RNA (PDAC_LNC020662)". Lineage: Eukaryota; Viridiplantae; Streptophyta; Magnoliopsida; Arecales; Arecaceae. The record is from RNAcentral.
AAAUAAAUUGAUUUUGUUCUAUCCUUCAACUUGCCUAAAUUUGGUAUAUAAUGUUCUAAUUCGUACCAAAACUCAACAUUAAAUACAAAGAUUCUGAGAGUGCUCUAAUGUUAUUGAAAUAUGUGUCUUCAAUCAUAAUGAUUUAAGAUGAGCUACAAUGUGGAAGAUACAUAUCUCAAAUUAUGACUUUGAAAGUCUCUAUUGAAAAUCUUUUGAAUCUGAUUUU